This 261-nucleotide long non-coding RNA is filed under the name Sinocyclocheilus grahami. Its description in RNAcentral is "lncRNA (ENSSGRG00000025990.1)". Lineage: Eukaryota; Metazoa; Chordata; Actinopteri; Cypriniformes; Cyprinidae. The record is from RNAcentral.
UUCCCCCAUCCAGUCUGACCGAUCUGUUGUUUUAAGUCUGCUGUGAAGACGGAGCGUAAGCGAAUUUUCAACGGCAUGCCGAGGAAUUAAGCAGCCGGGUGAUCGGAGCGUCGAGGGCUGGAUCGCUCAGAAAUCCAAUCCGCGGAUUGAGGCCUAAAUUCCCGAAGCGGAUACAUGGUUGUGUUUAUCAGUUGACAUGAGAAGAGAAGAUACUAAACCGAGUCGGGACGGUUUUGCUGCCGAUCGUUUGAGACAGGCCCU